This 1813-nucleotide long non-coding RNA is filed under the name Apis dorsata (giant honeybee). RNAcentral describes it as "uncharacterized LOC116186834". The record is from RNAcentral. Lineage: Eukaryota; Metazoa; Arthropoda; Insecta; Hymenoptera; Apidae.
CCGAGCAGCUGAUCUUCUCCAUGCAUCGUGCACACUUGACUCCAAAGAUCCGCUCGUAAUCGGUCCGACAAUAGAGUUUUAAUUCGCGAAUGAAACAAGAAUGAAUUAAAGGUGUCGCACACGCGGCGCAUGACAGACAUUCCUCAUGGUAGUUUCUUCCAGCUACUUGCAUCACGUACUUGUCGACUAUGGUGCGACCGCAACCGGCGCAAAUCGUUUCCAAAAGGCCUGAUUCCGUCUUCACUGAUACUGACGGCUCUGAAAUCAGUAAUUGAACUUUUUUUAUAAUAUUUUGAGUAAUAUGUAUUAAGGACGAAAUGGAAUCGGAGGUGCAGCAGAUCCCAUAGUCGGCGGACCCGACUCACCCUGCCGGUUCAAGCUACCUGGUAGCGGAGGGUAGAAUUCCAACAUGGUUCCUUAUGCCCUCGAGUUCUCAAUUUCUCAAUCUCCCCACCACUUUUUCACUAUUUGCACUUCUCAACAAUUUUUUCCUCCUUUAAUUCUCCUUUUUUUUUUCAAUAAUCUUUAAAGAAUCAACUUUAAUCCCUGUGAUUCCUUUUGGACCAUCAAAAAGUUCCAAGUCAUCAGAAUCCAAAUUCACAAAUAUCAAUGAAAUAACAAUCUAUCCAAACCUCUAUAUCUAUAUCAAUCUCCACGUCUAUCCAAGUUUAAGGAUCUCUUUGAUCACCAAGAUCCAAGUUCACAAUUUCAAUAAUACAACAAGUAUAACUUGUUUCAUAUAUCUAUAUUCCAAGUCUGUUCAAGUCUAAAAGUCUCUCUAGUCACCAAGAUCUAAAUUCACAAUUUCAAUAAUACAAAUGUAAUCUAUUUUGUAGAUCUAUCGACUUCACAUCUGUUCAAGUCAAAAAGUCUCUCUUCAGUCACCAAGAUCCAAGAUUAAUAAUUUCGAAGAAACAACAAGUAUAAUCAUAAAUCUUCGAUUUCACCGUCUGUCGAAUACGAAGCUCAAGACACAAAUAGAAAUCCGAGUUCACAAAAUCGAGCGUCCUCGAGAUCGAGUCAUUCCCGAUCAUUCAACCCUCUCCUGUCCUUCGACGCGGUGACAGGUCUCAAGAAAGGAUCCCAUGGUCAACUCGAGUCAUCCUGACGGAUUUCCAAGCCCAGUGAAAUUUCGAUCCUCCGUUUGAUACCAUCCUGACGCGAACUUUGUCUCUUUUUGAUUAUUCCGUACCACGAAGGGUUUUCGUUCUUGACGUUCUGGUACAGUACUGGACGAUACGUGACAGUUGAUACGUGUCAGCGGCCCGAACUCUCAGGCUUUUUUGAUGCCAGCCACCGCAUCGACAGUGAAAAUCAUUCCCCACCCACCUGCGCCGCGAACGACGAUCGACUAGAGGGUGAGAAUCGAGGGCGGGACGUUGAAGGCUCGCUAAGGGAGACAAAAGCUGCGAUGUGAUUGGUUUGAAUUGGAACCGCCCCUCGAUGAAAGGUUGUGGAGAGGGUGAGUUGGUAAUCGCGGUGCUCAACUGGUUGCGCGAUGUUUCCGGAGAUCAAUAUCUCGCGACAGUGACGUAUAAUGUUGGUGAAGGACUUGGGAUUGUUACCUUGAAUUUGGAAUUGUUGAGGAUUUGUUGGUCAUGAAUGCUUAGAGUAAAUGAUGGAUUAUGUAAUGGAGUGAUGGAGAUUUGUGAUUUCAUAGACUUAAUGUUUGCAUACAUAUGAUGAAAGAAUUAAAUAUGAAUUAUUUUGGAUCAAGUCAGAAUUAAAUAGGUGAGUGAAGAACUUGAGAUUAUUUUGAAUUUGAAAUUAUUGAGAAUUUAUUAAUGAAUGGUUAAUCUUAUUGAGAAUAUAG